RNAcentral lists this ribosomal RNA (800 nucleotides) under uncultured soil bacterium. RNAcentral describes it as "bacterial SSU rRNA". It matches the Rfam family "Bacterial small subunit ribosomal RNA", at positions 9 to 822 of the family's 1533-position model. The record is from RNAcentral.
GAGUUUGAUCCUGGCUCAGGAUGAACGCUGGCGGCGUGCUUAACACAUGCAAGUCGAACGAUGAUCCCCAGCUUGCUGGGGGGAUUAGUGGCGAACGGGUGAGUAACACGUGAGUAACCUGCCCUUGACUCUGGGAUAAGCCUGGGAAACUGGGUCUAAUACCGGAUAUGACUCCUCAUCGCAUGGUGGGGGGUGGAAAGCUUUUGCGGUUUUGGAUGGACUCGCGGCCUAUCAGCUUGUUGGUGAGGUAAUGGCUCACCAAGGCGACGACGGGUAGCCGGCCUGAGAGGGUGACCGGCCACACUGGGACUGAGACACGGCCCAGACUCCUACGGGAGGCAGCAGUGGGGAAUAUUGCACAAUGGGCGAAAGCCUGAUGCAGCGACGCCGCGUGAGGGAUGACGGCCUUCGGGUUGUAAACCUCUUUCAGUAGGGAAGAAGCGAAAGUGACGGUACCUGCAGAAGAAGCGCCGGCUAACUACGUGCCAGCAGCCGCGGUAAUACGUAGGGCGCAAGCGUUAUCCGGAAUUAUUGGGCGUAAAGAGCUCGUAGGCGGUUUGUCGCGUCUGCCGUGAAAGUCCGGGGCUCAACUCCGGAUCUGCGGUGGGUACGGGCAGGCUAGAGUGAUGUAGGGGAGACUGGAAUUCCUGGUGUAGCGGUGAAAUGCGCAGAUAUCAGGAGGAACACCGAUGGCGAAGGCAGGUCUCUGGGCAUUAACUGACGCUGAGGAGCGAAAGCAUGGGGAGCGAACAGGAUUAGAUACCCUGGUAGUCCACGCCGUAAACGAUGUCAACUAGCCG